GUCUGGGUGGCUCAGUCGGUUGAGCGACUGACUUCGGCUCAGGUCAUGAUCUCACGGUUUGUGAGUUCGAGCCCCGCAUCAGGCU
RNAcentral lists this transfer RNA (85 nucleotides) under Felis catus (domestic cat). It matches the Rfam family "tRNA". Rfam says of the family: Transfer RNA (tRNA) molecules are approximately 80 nucleotides in length. Their secondary structure includes four short double-helical elements and three loops (D, anti-codon, and T loops). Lineage: Eukaryota; Metazoa; Chordata; Mammalia; Carnivora; Felidae. The record is from Rfam by way of RNAcentral. RNAcentral also lists the same sequence under 1 other name.